UGGGGGAUAACGUAGGGAAACUUACGCUAAUACCGCAUACGACCUACGGGUGAAAGCAGGGGANCUUCGGNCCUUGCGCGAUUGAAUGAGCCGAUGUCGGAUUAGCUAGUUGGCGGGGUAAAGGCCCACCAAGGCGACGAUCCGUAGCUGGUCUGAGAGGAUGAUCAGCCACACUGGAACUGAGACACGGUCCAGACUCCUACGGGAGGCAGCAGUGGGGAAUAUUGGACAAUGGGCGCAAGCCUGAUCCAGCCAUACCGCGUGGGUGAAGAAGGCCUUCGGGUUGUAAAGCCCUUUUGUUGGGAAAGAAAUCCAGCCGGCUAAUACCUGGUUGGGAUGACGGUACCCAAAGAAUAAGCACCGGCUAACUUCGUGCCAGCAGCCGCGGUAAUACGAAGGGUGCAAGCGUUACUCGGAAUUACUGGGCGUAAAGCGUGCGUAGGUGGUUGUUUAAGUCUGUUGUGAAAGCCCUGGGCUCAACCUGGGAACUGCAGUGGAAACUGGACAACUAGAGUGUGGUAGAGGGUAGCGGAAUUCCCGGUGUAGCAGUGAAAUGCGUA
RNAcentral lists this ribosomal RNA (560 nucleotides) under Stenotrophomonas sp. R6-4. RNAcentral describes it as "bacterial SSU rRNA". It matches the Rfam family "Bacterial small subunit ribosomal RNA", at positions 137 to 692 of the family's 1533-position model. Lineage: Bacteria; Pseudomonadati; Pseudomonadota; Gammaproteobacteria; Lysobacterales; Lysobacteraceae. The record is from RNAcentral.